This 328-nucleotide RNase P RNA is filed under the name Moheibacter lacus. RNAcentral describes it as "Bacterial RNase P class A". It matches the Rfam family "Bacterial RNase P class A". From Rfam's summary of the family: Ribonuclease P (RNase P) is a ubiquitous endoribonuclease, found in archaea, bacteria and eukarya as well as chloroplasts and mitochondria. Its best characterised activity is the generation of mature 5'-ends of tRNAs by cleaving the 5'-leader elements of precursor-tRNAs. Lineage: Bacteria; Pseudomonadati; Bacteroidota; Flavobacteriia; Flavobacteriales; Weeksellaceae. The record is from Rfam by way of RNAcentral.
GCAGCAAGCCACUUUGUCGCUCUCCGUCACGGCGGAGGGAGGAAAGUCCGGACACCAAAGAGCAGCAUAACGGGUAACACCCGUCCUCUCGGCUCAGCCGAGAGAGGACAAGUGCAACAGAAAGCAAGUACAGUAAGGCUGUAGUGAAACCAGGUAAACUCUAUGCGGUGCAAUGCCAUGUAUAUUGGUUCCCGACUCAGUCGGGUGAGGGCUGCUCGUCCAACGCCAAGGGGUAGGCAGAUAGAUUUCGUCGGUAACGGCGAAACCAGAUAAAUGACAAAGUUCCAAUGAAUUGGAAACAGAAUCCGGCUUAUGGCUUGCUAUUUUU